Molecule: RNA transcript, 9413 nt
Organism: Chroicocephalus ridibundus (black-headed gull)
Lineage: Eukaryota; Metazoa; Chordata; Aves; Charadriiformes; Laridae
Gene: AP4S1
Gene name: adaptor related protein complex 4 subunit sigma 1
Exons: 7
Source: RefSeq, a predicted model, not a curated record
CCGCACCCAGCGCUGGGCAGGCCGCCGGCCCGGCGAGCCCCGCGGUCAUUGUGCUGAGGGAGACGAUGGCAGCUGUCAAGGCGCAGCUCGCCCCGCCGCGGCCCGGCCGCCGGCCGGGUCAGUAGCCCCGCGCCGCGGCAGCGCCCGCCCGCCCUUCCCCGGCCCUCCUCCGGGCCCCGCCACGCCAGUACGGGCGAGCGGCCUGCGGAGCAGGGGCUGCCUCGGGAGCCAGCAGCCCAGGCGGGCGCCAUGCUAAAAACCAAAAUGGCUGCCCCAGGGAAAGGAGCCCAGCUCAGGCCGUGAGGGGCUGCGCCUCCGACGGCCCCGCCGGCCGGCGACGCCGCUUCGCCCGAUAGACCUCGCCCCAGAGACCCACUUAUGCUAGUUCAGAAGCCCGGGGCACGGUGGACAAGGCGUGUGCACCACUGCAGCAGCAUUGGCCACAUUGACCAACGUCCAUGAUUCUUCUGUUGGAGUGAAUCAACAAAAGUGCGUUCCUCUUCUGGAUGUAAAGAAGACUUCUCUGUGUCUGGCAGAGAAAUACUGUUGAUUCCUGCACCCCGUAUUCAAAUCUACUGCUGAGAUCAACAAAAAAAAAAUGAUAAAAUUUUUUCUUAUGGUAAACAAACAAGGCCAAACAAGGCUCUCUAGGUAUUACGAGCAUGUAGAAAUUAAUAAACGGACAAUGCUGGAAGCUGAAGUAAUCAAAAACUGUCUCUCUCGUUCAAAGGAUCAGUGCUCUUUCAUUGAGUAUAAGGACUUUAAGCUGGUCUACCGGCAGUAUGCAGCCCUUUUCGUAGUCGUUGGAAUCAACGAGACAGAGAAUGAGAUGGCAGUAUAUGAACUAAUUCAUAAUUUUGUGGAAGUUUUGGACAAAUACUUCAGCAGAGUGAGUGAAUUAGAUGUAUCCUUUUCACUAUCAGAAGUCCAUUUGUCUCUCUCUUUUUGGUGUAUGUUCCAGUUCAUACUGUCUUCAUAACACCGACUGUCAAACAGUCAAGACAAUGCAGAGAUUUCACAAAUUUUGCACCUACAGUAAGUAGCACCUUUCUGAAAGUAUGGCCCAUGUUCACAAGGGUCACCUAUUUAAAUCCUCAGUCAUUAAGAUAAACCUAGUACCCUUUAAAGUAAGACAGGGAGAGCCUGCUUACAGAGAACUAAGUACCAUUAACAUCUAGACAUGAAAAGUUAUAUUCAUGGGGGAACUUUCAGAGUUAACUAAUUAUUAGUUCCGGAUUUUACUUUUUUCUUUACGUUUACAAUAAAAUAGAUAUUGAAAUAACUGCAGCGAUAAGAACUGAAUGUUACAGCUGCGUCUUGAGCCAAAUAGCGGUAGCGUCAUUGUAAGAUUAGGUUUGCGCUUUGACCUUGCUUAAUGAAAGUCUAGGUGAGUUCUACUUUCUGUAUCAAUGGAAAAAGAGAAAGGCCUGGGAGGACAAAAUUCAGGAAACUAGGCAUUGCCACAGGUACCUUUUUCUUUUCCUGCCCCUCCCUUACACAGCUGUAUUUUCAUGUGUAAGAUGUGCAGGGUAUUAACUAAAACAUAAUUUAAAAAAUGAACUAAAUCCAAAUACAAACAAUUAAGCACAAAUAGCAAGUAAAUAAAAUACAAUAUUGAAUUAAAAGCAAACUAAACCAGGAGAAUGUAGCACAGUCUUCCUCCUCAGUUCUUCCAGUCCCACUGCCUGCUCACUCUACUCCAGCAAUCCUUAUGCCUAUGGUUGUUGUUGGUUAAAUGUUGAUCUACUGGUAGAAAGAAUUUCAAUUAUACACCCUGAAAUACAGUUGCCACCCUGGAAUCAAAUGCUGUAAUUUAGUUUAUUUACCUUAUUUAACAUAUGAAGAACAUAGACCUAUUAUGUGAUUUUUCUUGUAAUUGUUCUUACUUCUUUGCUGACAAAAAAGAAAAAACACAAAAGGAAAUAAUUAAUUUCACUUUUAUAAAUAUUUCAAUGCUUGCUAUAUGCUGGAACUCUGUCUCAUUUACUGAACUUAAUUUUAUAUGUGUGCAUAUGUAUGUGUAUAUAUACUGUCUGUACUGCCUUCCUGAAGUUCACAAAAUGCGUAGCAUUAACCUAACACUCCUAAAUUCACUUACAGAAGAGCAAUAAUGAAAUUUCAGCAUGAAGGGACUCUUAAGGUCUCUGAGUGAUUGCAUGACUAUAUUUUUUGUAUUCAGUUGUUAUAGUUAAGGUUUAGAACUAUGUGCCCCUGUGUAUGAACUUCGCUGAAUUAGGGACUAACCUGACCUAUUCAGUAAUUAUACAUAAAAAUAGUCCCCUAUGUUCCCAUAUGGUGUACUUUGAGCCUGCAAUUGCCUGAUUCUCUUUAUCUUAGAUCAUUUGGAGUACUGAUGAGUCUAAAUUCUGCCUGCCUUUGAUCAUCCUUUUCAUACCGAGAGGAACUUCCUGUAGUUACACGCUUACAGUUACCACCAGGAGCCCAUUUAAUAGCUGAGACAGGCCGCUGCAUACCCAGCAAGCUUCUGCAUACACCGUUUAGAGACGUUGUUGCACUACAUGCCAACACUGACAUCUGCAACAGGUGCAAUACGGUGUCUGAAUGAGUCCUGUAGAAAUUCAUCUUCUACACGGGUCUCAUCUGCGUGAGGGUGUGAACACAAAUAUUUGGAAAAUAGGAGAGUGCAUUACUAUCUUAUUUGAUAAUACUGGAAAUAAUAUUGGAAAAGCUCAUGUCUGAUAUAUCUCUUCUCAGCGUGUGUGACAUAUGAAUGAUGUACAUAAUUUUUCCAUUCAGAAAUGCACUUUUCUACAUUAUACAUUUCAGGAAAAUUUUUAAAAUAAAACAUUUGGCUUCUAUAUAUGUACAAAAUAAUUCUCCCAUUUAGGAGAAAGAGCUUUUCCUAAGUUGAGAGGAUAUGUAAAGUAGUUGAAAUGCAGUGAGAGACCCUCAGCAUUAAAUGUAAAGCAGAGGUGUAACGAUGAAGAAGUGGGCUGUUCAGGAUUGUAUUUAUUUUUGACAAGAGCUUGAAUAGCUGGCCCAGAAGAACAAUAUAAGAUCUGGACUACGAGUGUCUUGGACAGAUGUUAAUGCAGUGCAAGCAAUAAUCCAUCAAUAUGCCUUUCAUAGUGUGUAAAAUAAUAUCCCCACCUGGGAUUAAACCAUUUCCUUUGCCAAAUAGUCUUAAGCUAACUCUUAUAUUCAGUACAGCUAGCUUGGAUGCAAAAUAUCUGAUGGAGGAAGUGCUGUCUGAAGGUCUAACAGCAAACACCAAGUAGUAUUUACAGAAUCUUUGUAUACAGAAUAUCUGGUGGGAGACUGUCACGAUUUCCUGUCUCUGUGCAAUUAUUUUUGUGUACGGAUCCAUAGGAAGUUUAUUUCAAAAGUGAUAGUGGCUAUUCUACAUGGAAAGUAGUGUUUACUAACGUGGAAAAAAUAGUAGGAAAUUACAUGAAACCAAAAAACAUGAAAAAUAGAUCAUAAUCAUGGAAGGCUAUUCACUCAGGCACAGAGCAAACCCCUGUUAAGUCUAAAGGCUGAGAUCGUCGUGCAGUUGAACUGAUCCUGGAGCCCACGCUAAGCUGGCAGCACGCGUACUCGUUCUUAAAGCUCCCCCAGCCGCAGUGCGGGACCCCAGUAUUCCUGCCAUCGCAGCUCCUGCUAACGCAGGACUGCAGCCUUUAUUUAGGUCCAAACACCCCAAUUCAGCCAGGGCACCGGCAUCCGGCAUCCUGGCUUGCAUCACAGCCUGAGCCUGGAGUCAGCUGUCGGGGGGGCACCUUGGGCACCAGGCAGAGACUGGCUCCCUUCUGAAUCCUGCCCAACAGGAUUCAUAUGUAAUGGGUAUAUGUACGUGUGGCAUAGGUGUGUGUGACACCAAACACUGCAGGAACAAGUGCAAAGUUAUCUCAUGCAUACUGCAAAAAUGAACACUGAUUAGCUACUGGCCAGCUGAGUAACUUUAACUCUAGAGUAGCCACGGUUUUUACAGAAGCUUUUAGGUGUGAAUUGUUAUACGAUGUCCGUUACACGAUGUCCACUUUCAUUCCGAGAGUCAGACGCAUACUAUGCCAGAAUGCCAUAACAUUUCUAAAGUUGUUUGGUUUGCUUUUAAAAUAUCUGUAAGUCACGUUGUGAAUGAACGAGUACUGAAAUUGUCCUAGGGGUGCUGCUUCCGAACAUGUUAAUAGCACUACUUGAGCCUCACUUCUCUGUAUGAAAUAAGCGGGUGGGAUUUUCUGUAGCUCUAAAACUCCAGCUUGGGUGGUGUAGGAGCUACUUUCCUGGUGUGAUGGUGACAAAGGGGACUAUAAAAAUGCAAGUGUUACCAGAGCAACUUUGUAGGGAACGGUAUGCUGGUAAGCAUGGGAGUUUCUAAAAUUACAAAAAGUUGACUUUUCUACUGCUUGAACUGGUGAAGCAAAGCUCACUUGAAGACAUGUUAUUAACUUAGGGAAGAAACAGAUACUUACGUUCCUCUUGUGGGAGGGGAGGGGGAAGACAGGGUGCUCUAGGACCAAGCAUUUGAAGAAUGUUGUCUUGCUCCAAAAAAAACAUUACAUUCCAUUGCAACUAGCUGCUGCUGCUCCUAGGAUAGAUAAAAAGCUGUGAUACAGGGAAUGCUUCAUGUGAAUCAACUGUAUUCUUUAGUCCCCUGUGGAAUAACACUUUCAGAAUACAGUGCAUUUAAGUAGUACGGAAAUUGAAUGAUGAAUUUAUUCUGGGAGUUUAUAAGGAUAUACUUCAAUUUGUACUUUAAAAUAAGUGGGUAAAAUGGAAACCUCUAAGGAUUAGCUUAAAACUGUUGAAUAUCACAGAACUUGAAGGCACCAUUUGUCUCCUCUUUAAUGUCAGCAUAGUCAUUCGAGGAAGAAGUGGUCAGGAAGCAUUAAAUGCAUUUCAGUGCCUAAAAUUUGCCUGCCAUUAGAUAGGCUAAAUGUUACUUAAAGCAAAUGUUAGCAAAGAUAAAAUCGGAAUGUGCGACUCUAGCUUAAAAAAAGAAGCGACUCCAACUAAUCUGUAGUUGAAGAUGAAUGUCCAGGAUGGCAAUCAAAGUUUUGUAAUGCUGUAUAUUCAGUAGCAAAUCAUCUGCCCCAUAAGUACCCAUGCUGUAAUCUACAAAGCUUUUGUUUGUGCUCCUGGGUGUGUUACCUGAUCACAAGGUGUUGGCUGCACUUUAUCAUCUUUUAAGCCUGUACACACCCAUAAUUACUUGCCUGGAAAAUCCUGAGAUAUCUUAAAACGUCUCUAUAUGAAGAUGUUAUUAAUCACAUGCAAGUCCUAAACGUGCCUUUUUCCUUUCCUCCCCCAUCUCCUGCUUAACUAUCCGCCUCUGUAAUGUUUUGGGGAAGGAGACACAAGACUGCAUCGUAUUUACCUCCGGUAUGUGCCAUAAAACCUCUUCGUGAUAGUAGAAAGUACCAUUAAUGUCUUUAAUAAGGACAGCCCUUAAAUUUACUGAACACCAGUGUAACAUUUAAAUACCAAUUGUAGUAGGUGCCAUUUACUUCUCCUGCUAGGCACGCAGCCACAACAGCAUGGGCUGGAAUCUGUAAACCCAAGACAGCAAGGGCUCACCUUUUGCCUCGGCUGACAGCUUGGUGAGAGUAUUUCCUAGCUGGGUGCUCUGAAUACUUUUGUCACGGACUUUUAUCUACAGAUGCAGAGAUUAACACGUGUUUUCAUCUACAAUACUUGUUUAAAAGUUCCUGUUAGCCUCUGCACGGAUCUAGUGAAAGUCCCUUAAUGGGCAGCCCAGAUUCUUACUGGAAGGAGGACCUUGAAUGACAGCUCUGGGUGGAGCACAUGGCAGCGCACACACCGGCUAUAGCUUUUUCCUGUUCCGAGUUGCUCAAACUGGUUUGCUUUCCUGCUUUUCAUCUGGGCGUGGAUUUAUGACUUCAGGGCUUUAAACCCUGAAACUUGGGGUCACUUGCCAAACAAGUGACAGGUGGGGAGGAUGAGCCUUGCUGAGGCUGAGACAUACGUAUCCCUCCCUGGGCCGGGCAUUCAGACGGGAACGGCUAAGCGGUGCACGUGUGAUGAGAUUAACUGUAGAGCACAGUCAUGAGGAGUCAGAGGAAGGGGAGAAAAGCCAAGGUUGCUCCCCGUGCAGUCUGAACAUCUGCCAAGAACAUCACGGUGAAGGGAGGUGGGAAGGGAACUGAAAAAGGAAGCCAGGCUGUUAGGUUGAGGGUAGAGGGUAAGGAAUGCCUUGGGACCUUCCAAAAACCAAGGUGCUAGAUCUUUCCAGAAUGAUAUUAGUAUCCCCUUUCAAACUGCAGGUGAAAUCAUUGGUUCUGGAAUGAUGACCGAGAGAUUAACGGGUUACAGAUGGACAGAAACCACACCACCGUUUUCUGUGAUUUUGAAAUAACCUGGAAUGGCCCUGCAGGGGAACUGAUGUCUCUUUUAACCAUAUUGGGUUUGAGUGGAGCAGCUCCAAGAUCCUUGUUGGUGUGGCUGCCGUUUUCCUGUGACGUGGUAUCAGCUCUUCAGGAAAUGCAGCAGGGGAAAAAGCAGUGCUAAGUGCAUUUAAAUGUUUUCUUAAACAAGGUGAUGCAGAAGAAUAAGGUGGGAGUGACAAGUUGCUGCAUCAUCACUGAUCCUGGUUGAUCCAGUCUUCUGGGUUUUACAUCCUUGGGACUCUCAAAGGAAGAGGAAGGCCUGGCCAGGCAGGAGCUCUCGCUCUGCUGUGGGAACUGGAGCGCUAUGAAUCAGCGGUAGAGCGUAAAAAUUAGAAGCCAGGAAGAGUUGGCUUUAUCACUUGUUGAAACCUGAAUGGAAUGUUAUCUAACUUCAUUAACAGAUCCCCUUGCCCUACGUAGAGCAGCGCCAGAGGUGAACUAAGCAGCAGUAGAAGAGCUGUCUUCCUAAAAAUACUUACAUUACUGGAAUAAAGAAAUCCUAACUUCUUAGAUUAAAAGAUUUCUGCAAAGGCUGAUUUACUUGAAAAGUAUGCUGCAGGAAGAAAUUUGUCUCAAGUCUUUAAUCUGCCAAGCAAAGUAAACCAGCUACCUUUUGUCUCUGGAACCGCUUUUGUAGUUUUAAGGACAGUACUGCUCCUCGGUACAGAAAGGCACGAGACUGACUUUUAGAAGCAAUUCAGGCCUCUGGUCAGACUCAGGAAGAAGUCCGGUAUUUAAAAUUAGGUGGUUAAAUUUAGACCAGAAAUUAGAAGUUACCUGAUGAACCACAGACAUGCCCAAGAUCCUGCUGAGAGCUAUAGUUUCUCUUCCUCACAUAACAGUAACUAGUAGUAGUUAUCUGGGAGCCUGAAUUCUGCUGCUACACGUAGCUAGACACGCGGUGCUCCUCGUCAAGCAGGACGCAUUUGUUGGAGCAGCGAUACAAUUAAUUGCUUACGCUCCGGCACAAAUAAACAGCAGUGCUGAGUUCGGCCCAGGGCACUCACAGCAAUUUGAAACGUCAGGGGAAGGUGACAGCCCGCUUAGCUGUAUUCUCGUCAGCUUGAACACACGGCUUCAUCCUACAAUUCAGCCCGGGCGACUUCAAGCUUCUACUUCAUCUGUUCGAAGGGAGGUCAGAGGCAAGGCUCUGCGCCCUCUUCUUGCUUUAACGUGUGCAGCAGCAGCAGUCACCAAGACAGGGACAAAAACUUCAGCUUCUCUCAUGGCUGGGCUGACCGUCAUACUCAAGAACUUUUACAGAGAGCAGGAGAACUUUUAAGUCGAAGGCAGGAGGUGCAGCUGCUCCCAACUCAGCUGGGCUUGCCCACGGAGCAAGGCAGUUUGGCUGAGGAGAGGCUCAGGUUUCAGGCAGGCGAUGUUUCUACUGUGACAUUUUAAAAGAAGAGACUGAGCCAGUCAUCGUUAUCUGAAGUAAUGACUUGGGCUUCUGAAUCCGAGAGAAAGGAUCACGGAAAAAUCCCCCUCUGCAUUCCUAAGUACUGGCUUCAGCCCUGGUUCUCUAGAACCUUCGAAUCGUUGGAUGAGUCUGGCUUUCACCGCUCAUUGCAGGGAAAAUAAGGCACCUAACUCAGAUUAAGGCAUUCCCUUCUCAAAGCCAGGUGCUAAAAAAACAAGGGAUGUUCAGUGUUACUUAACUAAAAUCCAUAUCUUGAAUUCAGACCUAAGAUGGUUCACUGUCAUGAGCUCACGUCCUUGCAGCUCUGGUGGUUUAAGGUGGGUCUCCCCACCACUUGCAUUUAUCAUUUAGGAUGAGAAAUAUAUACAAAUAUGUGGCUCCCCUGCUGCGGUCGGAUACAGUUCCGUACUCCCACUGUUCCUGCUCUUUGGCAGAGCAGUGGGGCAGACUGCUGGAGCUAGAUCCACUGGAACUCCUCAGACAGAGCAGUCCUCUUCAAUGUCUGACCAUGUCAAAAAAAAAAAAAAAAAAAAAAAAGAGACUUAGGCUUUAUCACACUGAGCAGAGGCAAACGUUAAUGCACCUCAAAAACCUGGCACUUGCAUCUCCGCUGAUUAGAAGGGAAGUCCACCAACAUAAAUACAAGGACUACAGCAAAACCAGACCAGCUUCCUGAGCUCAAACCAUAGCGUCAAAAAUAGCGUAAGGGGCAGAGAAGGCCCUCGGGAGACUUGUGUCAAAGUAGGGAAAAAGGUGUUGAAAGAUGUAUUUAGAAGUUCCUGUGAAGUAUCUUGCCAGCUCCGCUGCAGGAGUUCUCAAUACACAGGCAAGAACUAGAAGGAGCAAAGUGAAUGCAAAGCUGAUCUCACAGCGAAGACGACAUUUAAAGAGCAGCAACAGGUGGAGAGGAAGGCCGAGGCGGGGUUAUUCACCCUCUGCCCACGCCUAUGCAUGUCACUUGGGCCUAACAGAUGCAGCCAGCAGGCUUUUUGGCCGUGCCUAUUUCCAUUUCAGGUUCUGGUGAUAAAUGGCAACGUAAGAGUCUUUUUUCACUAAGGGACCCUUGGCAGUUGUUCCGCGGGUACCCAGGCCACUGCUGCGUGCAGAAGAAUGCCCACCGCUUAAUACCACGGUUGUUAUCGCUUGGUAACAUUUUAUAUUCAGACAGUACAUGGUACUCGGGCAGACAAUAAAAUUAACCACCCACAUCCAAGUUCACCUUGCUUUUACUACUGUGGGGUCAUCUUCCAGGACGGGACACUGCCGGGGCUUCAGCUUCUCUACUACAAACCUUUGACAUCUCUGUGGUCAGGAAAAACGCGUCAGUUAAACUGUUUCCCUGCCCCUAUUAAAAUAAACAGGCAAAUAAACUGGAGUUAGUUAAGAAAUACCUAUUUUUGUAAGCUUCCAUUAAAGACUAAAGGCGCUUAAGAUUUUCUCUGAAUUAUCUUCACGUUGUUCAAAAUAUACUUAACUUGAAGCGUUUCUAGAUCAUGUUCAAUUUGGACAGAGUGCACAUCAUUCUGGAUGAAAUGGUGCUAAAUGGGUGCAUCGUGGAAACAAACAGGAACCGAAUUCUUGCCCCUCUGUACGUGCUUGACAAAGUGGCAGAAAGCUAGGAAGAU